AAGAGGAAAUAGUCUCCAAUCAAUAACUUAAACUCCCACCUCAAGAAACAAGAAAAAGAAGAGCAAAAUAAAUCCAAAGCAAGCAUAAGGAUGGAAAUAAUAAAGGAAAAAAAUCUUCCAUGUCCUUGAGCCAGUUACCAGAGAAGAGCAGAAAUCCAGGGAGGACAAGGGAUUGACCUGGGUAGUAUUGAGCUGGAAGGUAAAAGCAAUGAACAAAAAGAGGUUCAGAUUCCUUAUUUUGGAGCGACAGUGUCAACAAGAAACAUCUGCCAAACCACAAGGACCAUGUAGAAGCUGGUGUCCCAGGAGGAGAUCUUCAGCAUUUCACCCAUCUCCCCCAAUUAUUUCUCCUGGAAAGACUGAGGCAUUUAGCUUCUUGGACUUCUCUCCAUAUAAAUGGCCACUCAUGGGCCAACUAACUGUGUGGUGUUCAAGACAAACAAUAUACAUCAUGUAAUAAAGAAUCAUUCUCCCCUGAGGGAAUCUGAGACUAAUUGAAAGGUUACUGUGUAAUAGGCUCCAUUUUCUUAAUCAUAUCUUGUGUUUGUGCAAAUGUUAAAAAAAAAGCCUCCCACCAAUGUAUUUUUAUCCAAAUGCUGCUCAAUUCUAUUAUAAUAAUUUUAUUGUCCUAACAUCCCUGUGAAAUCAGUAAACCAGUGAUGGAACAAACAGCUCUGCGUUGGUUUGAAUCAGGCACUAUGUUCAGGUUCCCAAAUUAGAAGGAGCAGUGGUCAGAUUGUCUGAAGAGAUGGACACUGGCCGUGGCACUAACUGGUUAUCUAACCAUUGUCUAAUAAUGGUCCUCAUUUCCUCUUUUGUAAAUCAAGAGAUUGGAGAGACAAUUUGCAGAAGUUUUUUUCCACUUCUAAGAUUCAAUGAGUCAAAGUUUGGAGACUUAUUUCAGAGGCAACCAGCUAUGUACAAAAUAUAGCAUUACAAAAUAGAAAAUAUGUUGGCUUUGUAGCAAAAAUACUUGGGCCUGAAUCUUGGAUUUACCACUAACUAGUAGUGUUACUUUGGCCGAGUCACCCUCUCUAAUCCUCACCUUUCCUCUAUAAAAUGGAAAUAAAAAGC
Molecule: long non-coding RNA, 1074 nt
Filed under: Homo sapiens (human)
Lineage: Eukaryota; Metazoa; Chordata; Mammalia; Primates; Hominidae
Description: novel transcript, antisense to IGSF1
Source: RNAcentral